AUGGUCACAUGUCGAAGCAAACAAGUGGCCUAUAUAAUGGGCACUGUUAAGCCCCAUGAGCUAGCAUUUCUGAGUGAAGAAGAUUCAUGGAAACUGUUUUCAAACAAAGCAUUUAGCAAUGGUGUAGAGGAGCAAACAGAAUUAAUCACCACAGGAAGAUGUAUUGUCAAAAAAUGCAGGGGAUUGCCUCUUGCUUUGAAGACAAUGGGUGGAUUGCUGAGUUCAAAGAAACGAGUUGAGGAAUGGAAGGCCAUCGAAGAAAGUAACAUUGGGGAUAAUAUUGGAGGCAAACACGAAGUCAUGCCCAUACUGAAGUUAAGCUACAAACACCUGUCAUCUGAAAUGAAGCAAUGCUUUGCAUUUUGUGCACUUUUCCCCAAAGAUUAUGAGAUGGAGAAGGAUAUGUUGAUCCAACUAUGGAUGGCAAAUCACUUUAUUCAAGAAGAUGGAACAAUGGAUUUAACAUGGAAAGGAGAAUUUAUUUUCCAUGAGUUGGUUUGGAGAACCUUCCUGCAAGAUAUUAAAGUGGUAGUCAAAUCUGAUGGCUAUUCUGAUGCCAUAGGAUAUGGGACAAUAGUUUGUAAAAUGCAUGACUUAAUGCAUGACUUGGCUAGAGAUGUUAGCAAUGAAUGUGCCACCAUAGAAGAAUUGACUGAACAGAAAACAUUGGUAAAAAAUGUCCGUCACCUGCAAAUGUCAGAGGUUGAAUUGGAACAUAUCACUCGAUUGUUGGAAGGCAAAACAUCUCUCCGCACUUUGUUAGCUCCUUCAAGGAUACACCUGGAUUUUAACCGGCUGCCACGUGUAUCAUUACGAGCAUUGCAUUGGCAGAGUACGUCGGGUGCCAGUUUCAAGGCCAUAAAUGCAAAACAUUUGCGGUAUCUUGACCUCUCCAAUUGUAAACCCAAUGCUAUAUUGCUCGACUCAAUAUGUCUGUUGUAUAACCUGCAAACGUUAAGGCUCAAUCAUUGUGAAGGACUGCAAGAGCUACCAGAGGACAUGAUGAUAAGCCUGAGAAAGCUCAUACAUCUUUAUCUUUCUGGAUGUGAUAAGUUGGAGCGGAUGCCUCGAAACAUUGGCCAGUUGAACAAUCUUCGCACACUAACAAGAUUUGUUGUGGAUACUAGAGAGGGUUGUGGUAUUGAGGAACUCAAAGACUUGCGACACCUUUGCAAUAAGAUGAAAUUGUACAACUUGAGGAAAAUAAAGAGUGUAAAGCACGCAAAAGAAGCCAAUCUCCAACAGAAGCAAAAUCUGAGUGAGCUGUUGUUUUCUUGGGGCCUUAAAAGAUAUGAAGAGCCCGAAAGUGAGGCAUGUAUUGAGGAAGAAGUGUUCCAGCAUCUAGAACCUCAUAGCAAGAUCCAAAUUUUGGAGUUGUAUGGAUAUGGUGGCCUAGAAAUACCACGAUGGAUGAGAGACCCUCAGAUGUUUCAGUGCUUAAGAAAACUCACAAUUACGAACUGGACAAGGUGUAAGAAUAUACCUGUAGUAUGGUUGUCACCUUCACUGGAGUACUUAUCCUUAACGAACGUGGGCAAACUGAAGACAUUGUGUGAUAACCUUUGCAUAGAAGUUGAAAGACACAAUACCCCUCUACAGAUUUUCCCGAAGUUGAAGAAGAUGUUCUUGGAAGAGCUACCUAGUCUAGAGGGUUGGGCAGAAAACAGUGCAGGUGUGGCCAUUGAUAGCUCAGUAAUAUUCCCGGUGCUUGAGAAGCUAGAAAUCUGCUGCUGCCCUAAGGUUGCAAGUUUUCCACAGAGCCCCGUUCUCAAAGACCUGAGUUUAUCAGAAUUCCCGGUGCGGGAGGUGAAGUGUUUAUGGGAUAUUCCAAGGUUGCCAACAUCUGUUGAAAUUUUGUGGAUUCAAUGCUUCGGAGGUUUGGUGGAGCUGCCUUCGAACCUUGGAGAUCUGGCAAAGCUGAGCUACCUACUGGUUCAUGACUGCAAGAACCUCAAAGGGUUGCCUGAUGGGAUGGAUGGCCUCACUUCUCUUCAGAAAUUGGAAAUCACUCAUUGUCCAGCGACGGAGGAAUUCCCAAAUGGCCUCCUUCAGCAGUUGCCAGCCCUUGACAAGCUAAGCAUAUAUGGUUGCCCUGAGUUGCAAAGACGGUGCAAAGAAGGUGGGGAGUAUUUCCACCACUUGGUCCGUAUCCCAGUUAAACACAUUCCAGCAGAAUUAGAAUUCGGAACUGGAACAAGUAUCACCUUCAUGCAGCUCUCUGGAUGA
This 2226-nucleotide ribosomal RNA is filed under the name Triticum aestivum (bread wheat). RNAcentral's name for it is "partial small subunit ribosomal RNA". The record is from RNAcentral. Lineage: Eukaryota; Viridiplantae; Streptophyta; Magnoliopsida; Poales; Poaceae.